This 697-nucleotide ribosomal RNA is filed under the name bacterium SCSIO13173. RNAcentral's name for it is "bacterial SSU rRNA". It matches the Rfam family "Bacterial small subunit ribosomal RNA", at positions 56 to 754 of the family's 1533-position model. The record is from RNAcentral.
UGCAGUCGACGGUAUAUUGCUUUCGGGCAAUAGAGAGUGGCGCACGGGUGCGUAACGCGUAUGCAACCUACCCAAUACAGGGGGAUAGCCCGGAGAAAUCUGGAUUAAUAUCCCAUAGUAUCAUUUAGCUGCAUGGUUUGAAUGAUUAAAGAUUCAUCGGUAUUGGAUGGGCAUGCGUCUGAUUAGCUAGUUGGCGGUGUAACGGACCACCAAGGCGACGAUCAGUAGGGGUUCUGAGAGGAAGGUCCCCCACACUGGCACUGAGAUACGGGCCAGACUCCUACGGGAGGCAGCAGUAGGGAAUAUUGGGCAAUGGACGAGAGUCUGACCCAGCCAUGCCGCGUGCAGGAAGACGGCGUUCUGCGUUGUAAACUGCUUUUAUCUGGGAAGAAAAGGCCCCUGCGGGGGACAUUGCCGGUACCAGAUGAAUAAGCACCGGCUAACUCCGUGCCAGCAGCCGCGGUAAUACGGAGGGUGCAAGCGUUGUCCGGAUUUAUUGGGUUUAAAGGGUGCGUAGGCGGCUUAUUAAGUCAGUGGUGAAAGACUCCGGCUCAACCGGGGCAGUGCCAUUGAUACUGGUUAGCUUGAGUGUUGGAGGGGUACAUGGAAUUGAUGGUGUAGCGGUGAAAUGCAUAGAUACCAUCAGGAACACCGAUAGCGAAGGCAUUGUACUGGCCAACAACUGACGCUGAUGCAC